RNAcentral lists this unclassified non-coding RNA (323 nucleotides) under soil metagenome. RNAcentral describes it as "partial contains 5.8S ribosomal RNA, internal transcribed spacer 2, and large subunit ribosomal RNA". The stretch from base 5 to 119 matches the Rfam family "5.8S ribosomal RNA", at positions 40 to 154 of the family's 154-position model. The record is from RNAcentral.
GAUGAGAACGUAGCGAAAUGCGAUAAGUAGUGUGAAUUGCAGAAUUCAGUGAAUCAUCGAAUCUUUGAACGCACAUUGCGCCCCUUGGUAUUCCAUGGGGCAUGCCUGUUCGAGCGUCAUUUGUACCUUCAAGCUUUGCUUGGUGUUGGGUGUUUGUCCCUCGGGACUCGCCUUAAAGUCAUUGGCAGCCAGUGUUUUGGUUUUGAAGCGCAGCACAAGUCGCGAUUCAAGGCUAUCCGCCCGCUUCCACAAGCCUUUUUCACUUUUGACCUCGGAUCAGGUAGGGAUACCCGCUGAACUUAAGCAUAUCAAUAAGCGGAGGA